AGGGCGUAUGGUGGAUGCCUAGGCAUUAGAAGACGAAGAAGGACGCGACAAACAGCGAAAUUGCCUCGGGGAGUUGUAAGUAAGCAUUGAUCCGGGGGUAUCCGAAUGAGGAAACUUACCAAGAAAGGUAUCCUAAAAUGAAUACAUAGUUUUAGUGAAGGAAACCCUGUGAACUGAAACAUCUUAGUAACAGGAGGAAAAGAAAGAAAAAUCGAUUGCCUUAGUAGUGGCGAGCGAAACGGCAAUAGCCCAAACCAAUCUACGGAUUGGGGUAGUAGGACACUUCGAAACGAGGAUAAGAGCUAAAGAUAGCUAAAUGAUUUGGGAAAGUCAGUCAAAGAAGGUGAAAACCCUGUAGGCGAAAUCUGAAGCACUCAGAAGUGAAUCCUGAGUACGGCGGGACACGAGAAAUCCUGUCGGAAUCAACGGGGACCAUCCCGUAAGGCUAAAUACUCUCUAAUGACCGAUAGUGAACAAGUACCGUGAGGGAAAGGUGAAAAGAACCCCGGGAGGGGAGUGAAAUAGAGAAUCUGAAACCAUAUGCUUACAAAAAGUUCGAGCCCGUUAAAGGGUGAGAGCGUGCCUUUUGCAGAAUGAGCCGGCGAGUUAUGGUAUUGUGCAAGGUUAAGUAGAAAAUACGGAGCCGAAGCGAAAGCGAGUCUUAAAAGGGCGAAAAAGUACAAUGCUGUAGACCCGAAACUGAGUGAUCUAGCCAUGAGCAGGUUGAAGUGUAGGUAACACUACAUGGAGGACCGAACCAGGGUACUAUGUAACGUGCUUGGAUGACUUGUGGUUAGCGGUGAAAUUCCAAUCGAACUCAGAGAUAGCUGGUUCUCCCCGAAAUAGGUUUAGGCCUAGCCUUGAAGAAUUUCCUCUGGAGGUAGAGCACUGAAUGUGGAAUGGCCGCGUCUAGCGGUACUGACUGCAAUCAACCUCCGAAUGCCAGAGUAGUUAGCUUCAGGAGUCAGUUUAUGGGUGAUAACGUCCAUAUGCGAGAGAAAAACAAUUCAGACCACCAGUUAAGGUCCCAAAAUAUAUGUUAAGUGGGAAAGGAUGUGGAGUUGCACGAACAGCUAGGAGGUUGGCUUAGAAGCAGCCAUCCUUUAAAGAGUGCGUAAUAGCUCACUAGUCGAGUGGCUCUGCGCCGAAAAUGUACCGGGGCUAAACAUAUUACCGAAACUGUGGAUUUAUGCAAUAGCAUAAGUGGUAGGGGAGCGUUCUAAGGGCGACGAAGAUAGAUCGAGAGGACUAUUGGAGCGCUUAGAAGUGAGAAUGCCGGUGUGAGUAACGUAAGGUAGGUGAGAAUCCUACCCACUGAUUGACCAAGGAUUCCAGGGUCAAGUUCGUCUACCCUGGGUAAGUCAGGACCUAAGGCGAGGCUGAGAAGCGUAGUCGAUGGACAACAGGUUUAUAUUCCUGUACUAUUUAUAGGACUGAAGGAGUGACAAAGGAAGCUAGUAAGAGCCAUUUAAUGGAUUAUGGUCUAAGCACAAAGACUGAUACAUAGGAAAAUCCGUGAUAUCGAACGGUUGAAGUGUGAUGGCGAAGCAGUCUACGGACAGCGAAGUCUUAUGAGGCUAAACUUUUUAAAAAAGCUUCUAAAGAAAUGCUAUAAAUACCUGUACUAAGAACCAACGCAGGUGGUCAAGGAGAGAAUCCUAAGGUGAGCGAGAGAACUAUGGUUAAGGAACUCGGCACAAUGAUCCCGUAACUUCGGAAUAAGGGAAGGUCUUGAAAAAGACCCGCAGUGAAUAGGCCCAAGCGACUGUUUACCAAAAACACAGGUUUCUGCAAAAGCGUAAGCUGAAGUAUAGGAGCUGACGCCUGCCCAGUGCUGGAAGGUUAAGAUGAUUUGUAAGAUGGACGAAAGUCGAUAACAUCGAAGCAAUGAAUUGAAGCCCCAGUGAACGGCGGCGAUAACUAUAAUCGUCCAAAGGUAGCGAAAUUCCUUGUCAGGUAAGUUCUGACCCGCACGAAAGGCGUAACGAUUUGGGCACUGUCUCAACCAUAGACUCGGUGAAAUCUUAAUACCUGUGAAAAUGCAGGUUACCAGCGACAGGACGGAAAGACCCCAUGGAGCUUUACUGUAGCUUGAUAUUGAAAUCAGGUAGUUAAUGUAGAGGAUAGGUGGUAGACUAUGAAGUUAAGACGCUAGUCUUAAUGGAGUCGACCUUGGAAUACCACCCUUUGACUAUUUGAUUUCUAACUUGCACCCGUAAUCCGGGUGAA
This 2229-nucleotide ribosomal RNA is filed under the name human gut metagenome. RNAcentral's name for it is "bacterial LSU rRNA". It matches the Rfam family "Bacterial large subunit ribosomal RNA", at positions 14 to 2248 of the family's 2925-position model. The record is from RNAcentral.